Molecule: long non-coding RNA, 1377 nt
Filed under: Physcomitrium patens
Lineage: Eukaryota; Viridiplantae; Streptophyta; Bryopsida; Funariales; Funariaceae
Description: long non-coding RNA (PPAT_LNC000304)
Source: RNAcentral
UUAUAGAAUUAACUUACUUUUAUCUACUUUUACUUACUUCUAUCUAUUUAUACAUAUAAUUAUUGGCUUACAUACGUAUGUCCAUUGUUGUAAUAUGUGAAGUCUUGCUUGAGAAUAUUCUGGGACCUGGUUGUGGAAGAAAGAAUAGAAAUUGGAAUAAUAAAAUUCUAAUUCUAAUAGAAUACUAACAAUGCUCUAAUGAGUCCAUAAUAAUGGUAAGCAAGCUUAAUUAAAUUCAAAAAAAUUCAAAGAAAUUUCAAACAAACAAUAAGAAUUCUUAAAGAAAUAUUAGAAGGAUCACAAAUAUCACUCAAAUACAUCUCAAUUCAAUCUUAAUUUAAUUCUAGUUAAAAUCCUAUUUAACUUCAUUCAAACUUUAGACCAAAAAUAAUUGAAUCUUUAAUCCUAAUAAAAUUCUAAACCCUAAAUCAAACCCUAAACAAACCUUAAAUCAAACCCCAAUCAAAUCCUAAACCAAAUCCUAACCAAACCCUAAAACAAAUCCUAAAUCCUAAAUCAAACCCUAAAUCCUAAAUCAAAUUCUAACCAAAUCUUAAUCCAAAUCCUAAAUCCUAAACCAAAUCCUAAUCCAAACCCUAAACCCUAAACCAAAUCCUAACUAAGUCCUAAAUCUUAAAUCAAAUCCUAACCAAAUCCUAAACCAAACCCUAAUCCAAACCCUAAAUCCUAAAUUCUAAACCAAAUCCUAACCAAAUCCUAAAUCCUAAAUAAAUCCUAAAAAAAUCCUAAACUAAACACUAAAUUCUAAAUCAAAUCCUAAUCUAAACCGUAAACCCUAAACCAAACCCUAACCAAAUCCUAAACCAAAUCCUAGUAAUUCCUACAAUAGAUUUAAACCUCAAUAACUAAUGAAUAAAUCAUUGAUUUAAACUCAAAUUUUUCAUACUUCUAAAAUCAUAAGUUAAAAACAAGCACAAAAAAAUUGAAAAUGAUCGGAAUUACCAAAUUGACGAUAACCUCAAAAUGUGAUCAGGUAUUGGCCGACCUCCUUCACCAAUCUUGAUGCCAAUCUUCUAGAGCCAGUAUCUCUCUUUUGUGUUGUUCGAUUGAUCUCAAAAUUCUCACACACAAAGAAAAUCAAGUCUUAUAUCCUUUCACAUAAGUUUCACUUCAAUCCAACUAAUAGAUUACAAAAAAUCUUAAAAACCUCCACUAGACCUAAAAUUCUACUUUCUAAGACCUUGACCCAUUUAAACCUCAAUUUUCCUCAAUUCAACUAUUAGAUCGAGCUUAAAUUCACAACACAUAUUAAACACAACUACAAACAUAAACCCACAAAAUUUCACCUAUAGAUCUAAUACAAAACUCUUAAAAUCACCCAAAACAUAAAUCCUAUUUUAUUUCAUAAAAUCCAAG